UAAGCGGAGGAAAAGAAACUAACAAGGAUUCCCCUAGUAACUGCGAGUGAAGCGGGAAAAGCUCAAAUUUAAAAUCUGGCGGUCUUUGGCCGUCCGAGUUGUAAUUUAGAGAAGCGUCUUCCGCGCUGGACCGUGCACAAGUCUCCUGGAAUGGAGCGUCAUAGAGGGUGAGAAUCCCGUCUUUGGCACGGAUGCCUGGUGCUUCUGUGAUGCGCUCUCGAAGAGUCGAGUUGUUUGGGAAUGCAGCUCAAAAUGGGUGGUGAACGCCAUCUAAAGCUAAAUAUUGGCGAGAGACCGAUAGCGAACAAGUACCGUGAGGGAAAGAUGAAAAGCACUUUGGAAAGAGAGUGAAACAGUACGUGAAAUUGUUGAAAGGGAAACGCUUGAAGUCAGUCGCGUCGACCGAGACUCAGCCUUGCCUUGGCUUGGAGUACUUCUCGGCCCGACGGGUCAGCAUCAAUUUUGCCCCUCGGAUAAUGGCAAGGGAAAGGUGGCACCUUUACGGGUGUGUUAUAGUCUCCUGUCGAAUGCGAGGGGUGGGAUUGAGGAACUCAGCGCGCACCUCAGUGUCGGGGCUUCGGCCCACGUCACGCGCUUAGGAUGCUGGCGUAAUGGCUUUAAACGACC
Molecule: ribosomal RNA, 627 nt
Filed under: uncultured Russulaceae
Lineage: Eukaryota; Fungi; Basidiomycota; Agaricomycetes; Russulales; Russulaceae
Description: LSU rRNA
Rfam family: Eukaryotic large subunit ribosomal RNA
Source: RNAcentral